Molecule: transfer RNA, 73 nt
Filed under: bacterium
Lineage: Bacteria
Description: tRNA-Lys
Rfam family: tRNA
About the family: Transfer RNA (tRNA) molecules are approximately 80 nucleotides in length. Their secondary structure includes four short double-helical elements and three loops (D, anti-codon, and T loops).
Source: RNAcentral
GCCCUCGUAGCUCAAUUGGUAGAGCAUCGCCCUUUUAAGGCGUUGGUUUCCGGUCCGAGUCCGGACGGGGGCA